UACGGGGGGGGCAAGCGUUGUUCGGAAUUACUGGGCGUAAAGGGCGCGUAGGCGGCUUCGGAAGUCAUGGGUGAAAGGCCUCGGCUCAACCGAGGAAUGGCCUGUGAAACCACGGAGCUGGAGUGCUGGAGAGGAAAGCGGAAUUCCCAGUGUAGCGGUGAAAUGCGUAGAUAUUGGGAGGAACAUCUGAGGCGAAGGCGGCUUUCUGGACAGACACUGACGCUGAGGCGCGAAAGCCAGGGGAGCAAACGGG
This 253-nucleotide unclassified non-coding RNA is filed under the name uncultured Acidobacteriota bacterium. RNAcentral's name for it is "uncultured Acidobacteria bacterium contains 16S-23S intergenic spacer region". It matches the Rfam family "Bacterial small subunit ribosomal RNA", at positions 524 to 776 of the family's 1533-position model. The record is from RNAcentral. Lineage: Bacteria; Pseudomonadati; Acidobacteriota.